GACGAACGCUGGCGGCGUGCUUAACACAUGCAAGUCGAACGGUAAGGCCCUUCGGGGUACACGAGUGGCGAACGGGUGAGUAACACGUGGGUGAUCUGCCCUGCACUUCGGGGUAAGCCUGGGAAACUGGGUCUAAUACCGGAUAGGACCACUGCCUGCAUGGGUGGUGGUGGAAAGCUUUUGCGGUGUGGGAUGGGCCCGCGGCCUAUCAGCUUGUUGGUGGGGUGAUGACCUACCAAGGCGACGACGGGUAGCCGGCCUGAGAGGGUGACCGGCCACACUGGGACUGAGAUACGGCCCAGACUCCUACGGGAGGCAGCAGUGGGGAAUAUUGCACAAUGGGCGCAAGCCUGAUUCAGCGACGCCGCGUGAGGGAUGACGGCCUUCGGGUUGUAAACCUCUUUCAGCACCGACGAAGCGCAAGUGACGGUAGGUGCAGAAGAAGGACCGGCCAACUACGUGCCAGCCGCCGCCGUAA
Molecule: ribosomal RNA, 478 nt
Filed under: uncultured bacterium
Lineage: Bacteria
Description: partial 16S ribosomal RNA
Rfam family: Bacterial small subunit ribosomal RNA
Source: RNAcentral